CGCCCCCACUCCCCUGAGCUCUGCAGCAGGGCUCAGCCUGCACUCACCGGCGGGGGAAGUGCAGAGACCCGGCCUCAGCCGCACCGCUGAUGGGGAAGUUGAGACAGAAAGAUCAAGUGUUCAAGGUCAAAACAGAAGGCAAUGGUCAGGUUAAGAAGCAAACCCUGGUUUCCUGAUUCUAACAGUGGUACAGUUUUAGAUAUUUGUGAGAAAACACUAAAAAUUACUGCAGUCAACAAAACUGACCUUUCUGAAAGCGAUCCAGCCAUCAGUGGUCUAAGAACUACAUCUCCCACAGUUGAUGUAAAACCAUCUGGCACCCAUUGUCAUAAAGACAUUUGUCUGAUGUAUGUUUGAGUAACACACAAAUGAAAACAGGGACUGCUGGAGAUGGAUGUGAUUUCCAAGGAAGCAAUUGUCACUCAAGACUGUGGAGAAUGAGGGAGCUGUGUAUAUUUUUACAAGUAUUAUAUGCACCUCUUAUCUGUUAUCCUGCCUGACUGCCAGGCAUUAAAUCCAAGUAGGCAGUAAAUAGUAGAUGAAAAAAUGACAACAAUAAGGCUUUUUCGGGCAACAAUGCAGGGAGCUAUUAAUUGGGGAAUGCGCCU
Molecule: long non-coding RNA, 608 nt
Organism: Mauremys mutica (yellowpond turtle)
Lineage: Eukaryota; Metazoa; Chordata; Testudines; Geoemydidae
Exons: 3
Source: RefSeq, a predicted model, not a curated record